GGGGGGGUUUGUAGAAAGAAUUAGUUUUUUUUCGCUUUAUCUUGUUCUUUCUUAACUGUUUUUCCGCAUAUCUUUCAUUUUUGUUGGGUUGGACCGGACUUGUCUUGGUGGGAAUAGAAAAGUGCCAUCAUGUCCAUUUUUGGGUCGUGAAGCACCAAGUUCGUAGGUAUCACGUGUGUACAAAACAAGUCUAAGUAGAGUCUUGAGGAUCGGUAUAAAGAUGUC
RNAcentral lists this long non-coding RNA (225 nucleotides) under Solanum tuberosum (potato). Its description in RNAcentral is "long non-coding RNA (STUB_LNC001804)". Lineage: Eukaryota; Viridiplantae; Streptophyta; Magnoliopsida; Solanales; Solanaceae. The record is from RNAcentral.